GAUCAUGGCUCAGGAUGAACGCUAGCUACAGGCUUAACACAUGCAAGUCGAGGGGCAGCAUGACCUAGCAAUAGGUUGAUGGCGACCGGCGCACGGGUGAGUAACACGUAUCCAACCUACCGGUUAUUCCGGGAUAGGCCUUUCGAAGAAAGAUUAAUACCGGAUAGUAUAACGAGAAGGUCAUCUUCUUGUUAUUAAAGAAUUUCGUAUAACCGAUGGGAUGCGGUUCCAUUAGUUUGUUGNGGGUAACGGCC
This 254-nucleotide ribosomal RNA is filed under the name uncultured bacterium. RNAcentral's name for it is "partial 16S ribosomal RNA". It matches the Rfam family "Bacterial small subunit ribosomal RNA", at positions 15 to 265 of the family's 1533-position model. The record is from RNAcentral.